This 407-nucleotide ribosomal RNA is filed under the name uncultured bacterium. Its description in RNAcentral is "partial 16S ribosomal RNA". It matches the Rfam family "Bacterial small subunit ribosomal RNA", at positions 30 to 526 of the family's 1533-position model. The record is from RNAcentral.
AUUGAACGCUGGCGGCAGGCCUAACACAUGCAAGUCGAGCGGAGCGGCGGACGGGUGAGUAAUUCCUAGGAAUCUGCCUGGUAGUGGGGGAUAACGUCCGACAACGGGCGCUAAUACCGCAUACUCUCAGAUGAGCCUAGGUCGGAUUAGCUAGUUGGUGGGUUAAAGGCAUACCAAGGCGACGAUCCGUAACUGGUCUGAGAGGAUGAUCAGUCACACUGGAACUGAGACACGGGCCAGACGCCUACGGGAGGCAGCAGUGGGGAAUAUUGGACAAUGGGCGAAAGCGUGAUCCAGCCAUGCCGCGUGUGUGAAGAAGGUCUUCGGAUUGUAAAGCACGUUAAGUUGGGAGGCGGUACCAACAGAAGAAGCACCGGCUAACUUCGUGCCAGCAGCCGCGGUAAUAC